GAUGAACGCUGGCGGCGUGCUUAACACAUGCAAGUCGAACGGAAAGGCCCAAGCUUGCUUGGGUACUCGAGUGGCGAACGGGUGAGUAACACGUGGGUGAUCUGCCCUGCACUUCGGGAUAAGCCUGGGAAACUGGGUCUAAUACUGGAUAGGACCACUUCUUGGAUGUUGUGGUGGAAAGUUUUUUCGGUGUGGGAUGAGCUCGCGGCCUAUCAGCUUGUUGGUGGGGUAAUGGCCUACCAAGGCGUCGACGGGUAGCCGGCCUGAGAGGGUGUACGGCCACAUUGGGACUGAGAUACGGCCCAGACUCCUACGGGAGGCAGCAGUGGGGAAGAUUGCACAAUGGGCGCAAGCCUGAUGCAGCGACGCCGCGUGGGGGAUGACGGCCUUCGGGUUGGAAACUCCUUUCGCUAGGGACGAAGCGUUUUGUGACGGUACCUGGAGAAGAAGCACCGGCUAACUACGUG
This 467-nucleotide ribosomal RNA is filed under the name uncultured bacterium. Its description in RNAcentral is "partial 16S ribosomal RNA". It matches the Rfam family "Bacterial small subunit ribosomal RNA", at positions 28 to 507 of the family's 1533-position model. The record is from RNAcentral.